UACGGAGGGGGUUAGCGUUGUUCGGAAUUACUGGGCGUAAAGCGCGCGUAGGCGGAUUAGAAAGUUGGGGGCGAAAUCCCGGGGCUCAACCCCGGAACUGCCUCCAAAACUACUAGUCUAGAGUUCGAGAGAGGUGAGUGGAAUUCCGAGUGUAGAGGUGAAAUUCGUAGAUAUUCGGAGGAACACCAGUGGCGAAGGCGGCUCACUGGCUCGAUACUGACGCUGAGGUGCGAAAGUGUGGGGGGCAAACAGG
Molecule: ribosomal RNA, 253 nt
Filed under: uncultured bacterium
Lineage: Bacteria
Description: partial 16S ribosomal RNA
Rfam family: Bacterial small subunit ribosomal RNA
Source: RNAcentral